CCCUUAGAUGUUCUGGGCUGCACGCGUGCUACAAUGGCGCUUGCAACAAGUCUUGCCAACCCGAUAGGGUGAGCGGAUCUUUGAAGAGGCGUCGUGAUCGGGACAGUUGAUUGCAAUUAUUCGACUCGAACGAGGAAUUCCUUGUAAUCGCGAUUCAUCAUAUCGCGCUGAAUACGUCCCUGCCCUUUGUACCCACCGCCCGUCGCUCCUACCGAUUGAGCGAUCCGGUGAAUGUUUUGGACUGGCGUCAGAAGCGGUUCGCUCCUGACACUACGAAAUUUUGUAAACCUUAUCGCUUAGAGGAAGGAAAAGUCGUAACA
RNAcentral lists this ribosomal RNA (320 nucleotides) under uncultured eukaryote. RNAcentral describes it as "partial 18S ribosomal RNA". It matches the Rfam family "Eukaryotic small subunit ribosomal RNA", at positions 1470 to 1796 of the family's 1831-position model. The record is from RNAcentral.